CUGCAACUGUUUAUUAAAAACACAGCACUGUGCAAACACGAAAGUGGACGUAUACGGUGUGACGCCUGCCCGGUGCCGGAAGGUUAAUUGAUGGGGUCAGCGCAAGCGAAGCUCCUGAUCGAAGCCCCGGUAAACGGCGGCCGUAACUAUAACGGUCCUAAGGUAGCGAAAUUCCUUGUCGGGUAAGUUCCGACCUGCACGAAUGGCGUAAUGAUGGCCAGGCUGUCUCCACCCGGGACUCAGUGAAAUUGAACUCGCUGUGAAGAUGCAGUGUACCCGCGGCAAGACGGAAAGACCCCGUGAACCUUUACUAUAGCUUGACACUGAACACUGGUCCUUGAUGUGCAGGAUAGGUGGGAGGCUUUGAAGUGUGGACGCCAGUCUGCAUGGAGCCAUCCUUGAAAUACCACCCUUUAAUGGCUGGUGUUCUAACGUGGGCCCGUGAACCGGGUUGCGGACAGUGUCUGGUGGGUAGUUUGACUGGGGCGGUCUCCUCCUAAAGAGUAACGGAGGAGCACGAAGGUUGGCUAAUCCUGGUCGGACAUCAGGAGGUUAGUGCAAUGGCAUAAGCCAGCUUGACUGCGAGCGUGACGGCGCGAGCAGGUGCGAAAGCAGGUCAUAGUGAUCCGGUGGUUCUGAAUGGAAGGGCCAUCGCUCAACGGAUAAAAGGUACUCCGGGGAUAACAGGCUGAUACCGCCCAAGAGUUCAUAUCGACGGCGGUGUUUGGCACCUCGAUGUCGGCUCAUCACAUCCUGGGGCUGAAGUAGGUCCCAAGGGUAUGGCUGUUCGCCAUUUAAAGUGGUACGCGAGCUGGGUUUAGAACGUCGUGAGACAGUUCGGUCCCUAUCUGCCGUGGGCGCUGGAAGAUUGAGGGGGGCUGCUCCUAGUACGAGAGGACCGGAGUGGACGCAUCACUGGUGUUCGGGUUGUCAUGCCAAUGGCACUGCCCGGUAGCUACAUGCGGAAGAGAUAAGUGCUGAAAGCAUCUAAGCACGAAACUUGCCCCGAGAUGAAUCUUCCCUGAGCCUUUAAGGCUCCUGAAGGAACGUUGAAGACGACGACGUUGAUAGGCCGGGUGUGUAAGCGCAGCGAUGCGUUGAGCUAACCGGUACUAAUGAACCGUGAGGCUUAACCUUACAAC
Molecule: ribosomal RNA, 1142 nt
Filed under: Salmonella enterica
Lineage: Bacteria; Pseudomonadati; Pseudomonadota; Gammaproteobacteria; Enterobacterales; Enterobacteriaceae
Also listed under: 1 other name
Description: partial 23S ribosomal RNA
Rfam family: Bacterial large subunit ribosomal RNA
Source: RNAcentral